Molecule: non-coding RNA, 32 nt
Filed under: Rattus norvegicus (Norway rat)
Lineage: Eukaryota; Metazoa; Chordata; Mammalia; Rodentia; Muridae
Source: RNAcentral
UGUUAGUAUGGUGCUCUCUAUAGCCAGAGAGG